This 440-nucleotide ribosomal RNA is filed under the name uncultured bacterium. Its description in RNAcentral is "partial 16S ribosomal RNA". It matches the Rfam family "Bacterial small subunit ribosomal RNA", at positions 355 to 783 of the family's 1533-position model. The record is from RNAcentral.
UGGGGAAUUUUGGACAAUGGGCGAAAGCCUGAUCCAGCAAUGCCGCGUGUGUGAAGAAGGCCUUCGGGUUGUAAAGCACUUUUGUCCGGAAAGAAAUCCUUGGCUCUAAUACAGUCGGGGGAUGACGGUACCGGAAGAAUAAGCACCGGCUAACUACGUGCCAGCAGCCGCGGUAAUACGUAGGGUGCAAGCGUUAAUCGGAAUUACUGGGCGUAAAGCGUGCGCAGGCGGUUUGCUAAGACCGAUGUGAAAUCCCCGGGCUCAACCUGGGAACUGCAUUGGUGACUGGGCAGGCUAGAGUAUGGCAGAGGGGGGUAGAAUUCCACGUGUGAGCAGUGAAAUGCGUAGAGAUGUGGAGGAAUACCGAUGGCGAAGGCGAGCCCCCUGGGCCAAUACUGACGCUCAUGCACGAAAGCGUGGGGGAGCAAACAGGAUUAGAU